ACUGCUCAGUAACACGUAGCUAGCCUACCCUUUGGUCAAGGAUAACCUCGGGAAACUGAGGCUAAUACUUGAUAGAAAAUAAUUUCUGGAAUGAUUUAUUUUUCAAAUUCGGGCCAAAGAAUGGGGCUGCGGCUGAUUAGGUAGUUGUUGGUGUAAAAGACUAACAAGCCGAUGAUCAGUAAGGGCUCUUAGCGGAGAAGCCCUGAGAAGGAAUCUGAGACACUAUUCCUAGCUCUACGGGGUGCAGCAGUCGAGGAAAUUUUACAAUGCUCGCAAGAGUGAUAAAAUAAACCAGAGUGUUUCUUUUAAAGAAACUUUUAUCUGCUGCAAAAAAGCAGAUGAAUAAGGACUGGGCAAGACCGGUGCCAGCCGCCGCGGUAAUACCGGCGGUCCAAGUCGUAUCCACAUUUAUUUGGUCUAAAACAUUCGUAGCUUGUUUGAUAAGUCUCUUGUGAAAUCUGAUAUCUUAAAUAUCAGGCGUGCAAGAGAUACUAUCUUACUAGAGACCGGAAGACGCAAAGAGUAUUGUUGAGGUAGCGGUAAAAUGUGUUAAUCUCAAUUAGACUAACAAUGGCGAAGGCACUUUGCGAGUACGGAUCUGACAGUGAGGGAUGAAGGCUAGGGGCGCAAAAGGGAUUAGAUACCCCUGUAGUCCUAGCAGUAAACACUGCUCACUAAACAUUAGUACCUCCUCGAGAGGUAUUGGUGCUGUAGAGAAGUCGAAGAGUGAGCUACCUGGGAAGUAUAGUCGCAAGACCGAAACUUAAAGGAAUUGGCGGGGGAGCAC
This 787-nucleotide ribosomal RNA is filed under the name uncultured archaeon. RNAcentral's name for it is "bacterial SSU rRNA". It matches the Rfam family "Archaeal small subunit ribosomal RNA", at positions 85 to 879 of the family's 1478-position model. The record is from RNAcentral.